GCGAGAGUGGCGGAACUGGCAGACGCGCGAGACUUAGGAUCUCGUGGGUGACCGUGGGGGUUCAAGUCCCCCCUCUCGCACCA
RNAcentral lists this transfer RNA (83 nucleotides) under Nitrospira sp. RNAcentral describes it as "tRNA-Leu". It matches the Rfam family "tRNA". Rfam says of the family: Transfer RNA (tRNA) molecules are approximately 80 nucleotides in length. Their secondary structure includes four short double-helical elements and three loops (D, anti-codon, and T loops). The record is from RNAcentral. Lineage: Bacteria; Pseudomonadati; Nitrospirota; Nitrospiria; Nitrospirales; Nitrospiraceae. RNAcentral also lists the same sequence under 10 other names.